This 250-nucleotide ribosomal RNA is filed under the name uncultured bacterium. RNAcentral's name for it is "partial 16S ribosomal RNA". It matches the Rfam family "Bacterial small subunit ribosomal RNA", at positions 524 to 773 of the family's 1533-position model. The record is from RNAcentral.
UACGGAGGGGGCUAGCGUUGUUCGGAAUUACUGGGCGUAAAGCGCACGUAGGCGGCUUUGUAAGUUAGAGGUGAAAGCCCGGGGCUCAACCCCGGAAUUGCCUUUAAGACUGCAUCGCUUGAACGUCGGAGAGGUGAGUGGAAUUCCGAGUGUAGAGGUGAAAUUCGUAGAUAUUCGGAAGAACACCAGUGGCGAAGGCGGCUCACUGGACGACUGUUGACGCUGAGGUGCGAAAGCGUGGGGAGCAAAC